Molecule: long non-coding RNA, 2394 nt
Organism: Aedes albopictus (Asian tiger mosquito)
Lineage: Eukaryota; Metazoa; Arthropoda; Insecta; Diptera; Culicidae
Exons: 2
Source: RefSeq, a predicted model, not a curated record
CUACUGAGGAAUUCCACGGAGUCAUGUCAGUCGAUCCUGAGCGACCAUUUCAAAAAUAUCUGAAACUUUGCACAGUUUUUCAAUUUCAUCUAAAUCGCCAUUUUUCGAUAUCAAACCUUCAUAUUCACUCACGACUAACUUUUCAAAAGGGUGUAUGCGAAAAUAGUUCAAAAAUAUUCUAAAAGCUGUACAGCAAAAACGGAUUGUUCGAUUGUUAUGAAUUUUUCAGCAAAGUUAGAUAACUAAAUGAUGAUUCCUUAGAAAAUAUACACUGUAAAAAAUUUCUUUUUUUACUAUAAAAAAAUAUGAUCUUUGUCACAAUAACUCAAAUAUCUCAGAACCCUAUCUUUUUACCAACGUCAAUUUUUUAGGGAAAAUGGCCCAUUAUAUCAGCUAUCUACCAUAAAAUUUUGGUGAUGGUAAACUGAUAAACAAAAAAGUUAUGACAUUUCAAACAUUUCACAAUUUUUACAUUUAGUAACAAAAAAAAAAAUUUUUUCUGUGUAAAUUAUUUCGAGAACUAUAUUUUGAUGCUGAUUUUAUUGUAAAGGCUACCGCAUGAAUUAAACAAGUUGUUUUCAUGAUAUUUUUGUUUGAUUAUUUAUAAUUACUAUAGUAUCUAUUUGAACCUUACACGCGAUCCAGUGUUGUGAUCAAAAAUAUUGAGAUUGUCAUACUUUUUAUUGUACGUGACUGGUGAAAAAAUCCCUUGAUAGUGUUGAAAAGCUGUUGAUCAUAAUAAAAAUGGAAUUAAACUUAUUUUGAAGACGAAAGCUGCAUAAUAAAAGUUUUAUAUAUACGCGUAUACGUCUAGUUGAUCUGCAAAAAAAUACCUCUUAGGGUCGAUUUCUUCACCCUGGCUUAGGCGUUAAGCCAGGGUUAACUAUAUGGGUAAGCCUGGCUUACGGGUUAAGCCGAGGUGAAGAAAUCGGCCCUUAGAGAACAGACUUUAUGAUCGGAAAAAUGCGAGUAACUUCAACAACAACAAAUGCAUGAGAGGUACAUACCACAGACAAACAGACAAAACGCCUAGAACAAUUUUCGUGAAAAUCCAUCGCCCAGUUCACACUACCACCACCUGGUGGAAAUGUUUCACGAAACACUGCGUUGUGCAAUAUCGUCAUCAGAAGGCGCUAGUGUGAAACGUCAAACGCAAAGAAAAACGAUGGGCACUCUUCUGGUUAUGAAAGCCACAACCAAGAUUCAAAAUGAUCGUUAAAGGCGUGGUCAAUGAAAAUUUCGUCAGUGUUACGUUUGUUUGUCUGUAUACUAGGGUGGCCCAAACUUAUAUGAAAAAGAAAAAUUUCGAAAAAUGCUAAGUCUUACCUCCUAAAUAAGUUGUUUUGGACUCCCAGAAGCUACGUUCAAAAUUUGAGUAAAAUCGGUUGAGCCUAAGGGGGCGCUCAAAACGCUUGAAGUUUAUAUGGGAAAACUUGGCCAAAUGUAUGUAGAAAUUUUAAGUUUUCUAAUUUUGCCGCUAGGUGGCGCUGUAAGCGUUCAAUAAUCAAACCCUUUGGUAUUAUUGUAGGUGACUAUAUGCCAAACAACUUUGUCGAAGACCGCAAAGUGAUCCGACGCCUGUGAAAAAAGUUAUACCCAAGGCAAAGUGAGGCAAAGUAGUGAGAUUUCAUUAUUGAUAUUAUUCUUUUACAUGUAUUGGAAAAACAACAAUAAAGUUUAUCCUCACUUUACCAAGGGUAUAACUUUUUUCACAGAAGUUGGAUCACUUUGCGGUCUUCGACAAAGUUGUUUGGCAUAUAGUCACCUACAAUAAGACCAAAGGGUUUGAUUAUUGAACGCUUACAGCGCCACCUGGCGGCAAAAUUCGAAAACUUAAAAUUUCUGCAUACAUUUGGCCAAGUUUUCCCAUACAAACUUCAAGCGUUUUGAGCGCCCCCUUAGGCUCAACCGAUUUUGCUCAAAUUUUGAACGUAGCUUCUGGGACUCCAAAACAACUGAUUUAGAAGGUAAGACUUGGCAUUUUUCGAAAUUUUUGUUUUUCAUAUAAGUGUGGGCCACCUUACUGUAUACAUACCAUGAAAAUGCUCACGAAAAAGCAAAAAAAUACUACCGCUAUGGAUAUUAAAAAUUUUAUAGUAAAUUUUUUCUUCGUCCAAGCAAACAACACCAAACUAGUCAGUUAAAACUAAUAAGUGAUUUUGUUUAUUAUAAUCUAACGAACAACAUGAACAGUCGCUUUCUCAAAGGUCUUCAACUCAACGCUCUCUUGUAGACCGCUUGUGAAAAAAAAUGUUCAAAAGAGUUACGAAAUCUCAUAGAUAAACUGAAAGAGACUGGUUAUGCCCAAAUUGAAUACAAAUUUACGCAUUUGCACGUCCUGCCGUCUAGACUUUGACAAACGAGCCAUCUGUAUAUCAUCGGUAAAGCAGGGCG